UAUUACAGAUACGGGCUCUGAGAGGAGAAGCCCGGAGAUGGGUACUGAGACACGGACCCAGGCCCUAUGGGGCGCAGCAGGCGAGAAAACUUUGCAAUGUGCGAAAGCACGACAAGGUUAAUCCGAGUGAUUCCUGCUAAAGGAAUCUUUUGUUAGUCAUAAUACCACUGAUGAAUAAGGGGUGGGCAAGUUCUGGUGUCAGCCGCCGCGGUAAAACCAGCACCUCAAGUGGUCAGGAUGAUUAUUGGGCCUAAAGCAUCCGUAGCCGGCUUUGUUAGUUUUCGGUUAAAUCUAUAUGCUCAACAUAUAGGCUGCCGGGAAUACUGCAUAGCUAGGGAGUGGGAGAGGUAGACGGUACUCCGUAGGAAGGGGUAAAAUCCUUUGAUCUAUGGAUGACCACCUGUGGCGAAGGCGGUCUACCAGAACACGUCCGACGGUGAGGGAUGAAAGCUGGGGGAGCAAACCGGAUUAGAUACCCGGGUAGUCCCAGCUGUAAACUAUGCAAACUCAGUGAUGCAUUGGCUUGUGGCCAGUGCAGUGCCGCAGGGAAGCCGUUAAGUUUGCCGCCUGGGAAGUACGUACGCAAGUAUGAAACUUAAAGGAAUUGGCGGGGGAGCACCACAAGGGGUGAAGCCUGCGGUUCAAUUGGAUUCAACGCCGGGAAGGGCG
RNAcentral lists this ribosomal RNA (669 nucleotides) under uncultured archaeon. Its description in RNAcentral is "bacterial SSU rRNA". It matches the Rfam family "Archaeal small subunit ribosomal RNA", at positions 259 to 929 of the family's 1478-position model. The record is from RNAcentral.